UACGGGGGGAGCAAGCGUUGUUCGGAUUUACUGGGCGUAAAGGGCGCGUAGGCGGUCGGCACAGGUCAGUUGUGAAAUCUCCGGGCUUAACUCGGAAAGGUCAACUGAUACUGUGCGACUAGAGUGCGGAAGGGGCAACUGGAAUUCUCGGUGUAGCGGUGAAAUGCGUAGAUAUCGAGAGGAACACCUGCGGCGAAGGCGGGUUGCUGGGCCGACACUGACGCUGAUGCGCGAAAGCCAGGGGAGCGAACGGG
RNAcentral lists this ribosomal RNA (254 nucleotides) under uncultured bacterium. RNAcentral describes it as "partial 16S ribosomal RNA". It matches the Rfam family "Bacterial small subunit ribosomal RNA", at positions 524 to 776 of the family's 1533-position model. The record is from RNAcentral.